CAUGUAGGUGGGCUGUUAAGUCUGUUGUGAAAAUGCGGGGCUCAACCCCGUAUUGCGAUGGAAACUGACAGUCUUGAGUGCAGGAGAGGAAAGGGGAAUUCCCAGUGUAGCGGUGAAAUGCGUAGAUAUUGGGAGGAACACCAGUGGCGAAGGCGCCUUUCUGGACUGUGUCUGACACUGAGAUGCGAAAGCUAGGGGAGCGAACG
Molecule: ribosomal RNA, 206 nt
Filed under: uncultured bacterium
Lineage: Bacteria
Description: partial 16S ribosomal RNA
Rfam family: Bacterial small subunit ribosomal RNA
Source: RNAcentral